AUGAACGCUGGCGGCGUGCUUAAUACAUGCAAGUCGAACGAGGAGCUUUUUUCUUCGGAAUAGAGUUUCCUAGUGGCGAACGGGUGAGUGACGCGUUGGUGACCUGCCCCGAAGUGGGGGAUAACAGUUCGAAAGGACUGCUAAUACCCCAUGCAAUCAGUUGGGUUAGAGGCCUGCUGAUUAAAGGAGUAAUCCGCUUUGGGUGGGGCCUGCGUCCCAUCAGCUAGUUGGUAGGGUAAAAGCCUACCAAGGCUAUGACGGGUAGGGGACCUGAGAGGGUGGACCCCCACACUGGCACUGAAACACGGGCCAGACACCUACGGGUGGCAGCAGUAGGGAAUAUUGGACAAUGGGCGAAAGCCUGAUCCAGCAACGCCGCGUGCGCGAUGACGGCCUUCGGGUUGUAAAGCGCUUUUAGAGGAGAUGAGAAAGGACAGUAUCCUCUGAAUAAGCCUCGGCGAACUACGU
RNAcentral lists this ribosomal RNA (468 nucleotides) under uncultured bacterium. RNAcentral describes it as "bacterial SSU rRNA". It matches the Rfam family "Bacterial small subunit ribosomal RNA", at positions 29 to 506 of the family's 1533-position model. The record is from RNAcentral.